This 253-nucleotide ribosomal RNA is filed under the name uncultured bacterium. RNAcentral's name for it is "partial 16S ribosomal RNA". It matches the Rfam family "Bacterial small subunit ribosomal RNA", at positions 524 to 776 of the family's 1533-position model. The record is from RNAcentral.
UACGAAGGGGGCUAGCGUUGCUCGGAUUGACUGGGCGUAAAGGGCGCGUAGGCGGAUAGUACAGUCAGGCGUGAAAUUCCUGGGCUCAACCUGGGGGCUGCGUUUGAUACGUAUUGUCUGGAGUUCGGAAGAGGGUCGUGGAAUUCCCAGUGUAGAGGUGAAAUUCGUAGAUAUUGGGAAGAACACCGGUGGCGAAGGCGGCGACCUGGUCCGAUACUGACGCUGAGGAGCGAAAGCCAGGGGAGCAAACGGG